AUGCCGCCAGGAGGAGGAGGUGGAGGCGAGCAUGGCUGUGCGCUGCAGGGUCAGCCGACGGCGACCGUCCGCCGCGACGACGACGCUCCGUCUCAUUCUACGCUGCUGCUCCCCGACAUUGCUCCGGUAGCUUCCGAGGAGAAGAAGCAGAAGCUGGAGCGGGAGCAGGAGCAGCAGCCUGCGCCAAGCCUCCCCGAGGGCGGCCUCGUGGAGAUCCUUUCGCGAGUGCCCUACAGGUCCCUCUGCCGCUUCAAGUGCGUGUCCAAGCCGUGGCUCGCCCUCUGCUCCGCCCCUGACAUCCGCAAGAGGUCGCCACAGACCCUCUCUGGCUUCUUUUACCAGGAUGAAGGCGAAGGUUUCAGUUUCUGCAAUUUGAAUGGGAGAGGCCCGCCUCUGGUCGACCCUUCACUCUCUUUCUUUGGCAAAAGGUACCUCUACAUUAUUGUCCAACAGGUCUGCGGCGGACUCCUCCUCUGCAGCUGCUCGAAUAAUCUUCUAGGCGAAGCCUGUUAUCUUGUCUGCAAUCCUGCGACCGAGGAGUGGACUGUGCUGCCUCCUGUCGGAUUUCCAGGUCCUGAUCCAAUCGCUUUCUUAGGUUUUGACCCUGCUGUUCCAUCCCGCUUUGUGGUGUUUGCGCCCCAGCCCAAUAUGUUUGGUGUGGACGGUUCCGGAGAAGUGGCAAUCUACUCGUCAGAAACUGGACGGUGGACUCAUGUGCAAAGUAGGUGGACAAGAGAGCCUCUCGUGGAUCAUGGUAGAGACACACAGGUCUUCCUUAAUGACACUAUCCAUCUGCCUUCCAUUGAUAACAUAAUGGCCACAGUCGACGUGGAGGGGAAAGUUUGGAGGGAGAUUCAAAUGCCAAAUGACUUGCCAAACAUAUGUGAUGUUGGGCAGUCUCAAGGACGCCUGUAUGCGUGGAAGACAGAUAAUUUUUAUGAUUGCCAACUCUAUAUUUGGGUCCUUGAGGAUUAUGAUACUGGAAAGUGGACCCUAAAGCACACUUUUAAGGUUUUGGAGUUGUUUGGAAGGAAUUGCCGUAAACAUGGAGAUUCUUAUGCGAUGUUUGCAAUUCAUCCGGAUUGCAACGUGAUUUUUCUUACCGACAAGAAGAACAUGACAUUGUCGUAUGACAUGGAUAAUCAAAAAGUGCAUGUUAUCUGCGCCAAAGGCAUGAAUGGUUUGCCUUAUACUCCCUGUUUUGCGGAAUUGCCCUCAGCUGGUCACUGA
RNAcentral lists this ribosomal RNA (1230 nucleotides) under Triticum aestivum (bread wheat). Its description in RNAcentral is "partial small subunit ribosomal RNA". Lineage: Eukaryota; Viridiplantae; Streptophyta; Magnoliopsida; Poales; Poaceae. The record is from RNAcentral.